Molecule: unclassified non-coding RNA, 329 nt
Filed under: plant metagenome
Description: partial contains 5.8S ribosomal RNA, internal transcribed spacer 2, and large subunit ribosomal RNA
Rfam family: 5.8S ribosomal RNA (bases 1-105)
Source: RNAcentral
GAAAUGCGAUAAGUAAUGUGAAUUGCAGAAUUCCGUGAAUCAUCGAAUCUUUGAACGCACAUUGCGCCCUCUGGUAUUCCGGGGGGCAUGCCUGUCCGAGCGUCAUUGCGAACCCCUCAAGCACGGCUUGUGUGAUGGGCCCUCCCGCGUCUUGGUCGUCAAGACGGGCCCGAAAUGCAGUGGCGGCUUCGCGGUUAUCCGAUCAGCCAGAGCGUAUGGGGACUUUCUCUCUGUCACACGCCCGCGGCGCGGACCGACGCCUGUCGCCCUUUAUUCAUCUUUUUCUCGGUUGACCUCGGAUCAGGUAGGGAUACCCGCUGAACUUAAGC